Molecule: long non-coding RNA, 3752 nt
Organism: Homo sapiens (human)
Lineage: Eukaryota; Metazoa; Chordata; Mammalia; Primates; Hominidae
Gene: EPIC1
Product: epigenetically induced MYC interacting lncRNA 1
Source: Ensembl
ACCUUGGGGAGGGGCCAGCUGCUGUGUUCAGUCCGCCAUUGCAAACACGAAGCUCUUCCAGAAACGCCCUCACAGACACCCCGGAAGUCACGUACCCACUCUGUAGGUGCCCCGGGGCACAGGCAAGCGGACGAGCCAGUUAUCCCUCAGAGCUCCUGCUGCCUCGCCCGCUUUCUCUCGGAAACGUGAAGUGUGGCCUCAGCUGAAAGUGAGGUGGGCCUCAUUCAAUCAGUUGAAUUCUUCAAGAGAGAAAAACUGAAGUCCCUUAGAAGGAAAGAGUUCUGCCUUCAGACUGUCUUUGAACUUAAGACUGUAGCGUCGACUCCUGCCGGAAUUUCCAGCCUGCUGGCCAGCUCUGCAGAUUCACACUUGCCAGCCUCCACAAUCGCAGCUGAGGCGGAGGAACCCUAAGGGCUCAUUGAGAUCAUGGAUUUGCCCUUCUAUGCAUUGAUGGAGCACCUGCUGCCCACAGCGUCUGUAUUUGGUGCUGGGAUGCUGAGGACACUGAGAUCUUCAAACAGAGGCUGCCACUCUAAGCAAACAGAUCCCGAGCCCUGGACUCUGAAGCUUGGGCCCAGUUCUCCUUUUCUCCGGGUUUCAGAUCCCACUGUGAAGUGAGGGGGCCCUUCUGAUUCAGGACCCGGGGAAGCCAGGGGCAUGAGCAUCGGUGCCUCUUCUCUAUUUCAAGGACCCUUCUGGGUGUAAAGUUCUCUGAGAUGCCUUACAUGGAUUCCCACCACUGCAAGAUAACCAUCGUAUGAGGCUUCAGGCUUGACCAAAUCUGACUGGCUGGCUGCCGGAGACACUGCUACCCAUCGGCCCUUAAUAAAUGGCCUCAUUUGAUCAUCAUGUGAUCUUCAGAAGCUGGGCUUGAUUAUCCUUGCCAAACAAAAUGCUGAAACCAAAAAUCUGAAAGGUAUUUCUUGCUAAGUAAGGGAGAGCUGUGCUUGUAGAGUGUGGUCACCCUGAACAGCGCAAACUGCUUGUGGAGCUCCAAGACUGGCAGACUUGGGAGGGGGAGCAUUUAGGGAUUGGAUGACUUUGGCCGUGGACUCGGGGUUGGGACAGUGAGGCUGCCACUGAAUGGCUGUCACUCAGAAAUGUAGUUACUGAUAAAAAGUUGACUCAAUUUGUCAGGGCAGGCUUAAAAUCAGUUUUGGUAGUUACUUUUUGUCAUGGCUGAAGAGCAAUCCUCUGUCUUCUUGAAUUUGGACCUUUAUUUGGACUUGAGUUUGGAAAAACUAAGAAAUUUUUGUUCUCAUUUUCAUUACAUGCUUGAGAAAACUGAGGCUCAGACAGGCGAGUAAGUUUCCCAGGGUCACGCAUUUACCGGCUGGCAUAUUAAAGUUUUGAACAAAGUCCACGCUUUUCUUACACACUAUUCUCAUUAGUAUUAGUUUUAGUAGUAAUCGUAGCUGUACUUUUGGUUCAUAGGUUCAUAGAGAGUUGUUAAUCCUACUCCUCACUGAUAAUCCAUUCUCGCCAUCAUGCCCUACAAGACCUCUGGUUGUUUAAUUCCAUUUCUCCUUCAUGCUGGAUCCCAUCUCCCAUCCCCUCUCCACCCCUCCGACAGAGUCACUCUUUCUAAUGUCUUUUUAUCUGUACCUAAAUAUUUGUGUAGCUUUGAAAAAUCUAAUUUGUCAAGGGUUAUGUGUUCAUUUUACAUUUCCAUACAUGUUAUUGUGCAAUAUAUAGAUCUCAUUUGUUUCCUAAUUUUUUUCACUCACCACUGUUGUGAAAACACACUGACAUUUCUGUAUGACCCUCUUCUGACCUUUGCUUCACAGCGUGCAUCUACCAUACCUUAACCUACCCUGUUCCUCUUGUCAUGGACCCCUGGAUUGCCUCUGGCUCCCCCCAACACACACCUUACUGCAACAUCCACACACUGGGGUCUUUAUGGAUUUCCCUGGGUUUUCACUUAGGAGUGGGAUUGCUGGAUCCUAGGAGACACCCGUUAAUUCUGCUUGGCACAGACAGUUUGCUCUGUGUGGCAGGCCAUAUUCCCAUCAGCAGUGCGUGAGGGGUUCAUUCUGCCACAUCCUCACCAGCAUUUUUAUACUCCUUGAAAGUUUUGUCAGUUAGAUGAAUGGGUGCAAAAUGUAAUCUUAACAUUGAUUUAACCUGCAUUUCUGUGUUUGCCAAGGAAGUUGUGCGUCUCUUCAUUACUUAGCAGCCAUUCAAGUUUCCCUUUCUGUGAAGCUCUUAUUCAUAUACCUUAGCCAAUUUGAUAGUCCAUUGUUUUUAUUUUGUUGGAUUUCACUAUUUCCUUGCAUGUUCUAGAUGCCAAUAUCUUGUUGAUUUUAAAAGAUGUAGUCAUUCUCCCCCCAAUCUGUCACUUGUUUACUUUAAUGAUGCCUUUUUAUCUCAAACCCAAAUUUUUAAUGUUGCUAUUGAAAGGGCAAAAGUUCCCUUAUCCCUGUCACAGGGUGUGUGAUGCGGGAGUGGCUCACUUCCUCAGCGCCCCGCUGCUGAGACCUUUAGGGGAGCAUGCAGAUGGGCCGGUUGUGUGGCUCCGACCCCACGGCAGCGUCUAGGGGUGAAUGUUUACAGCUGCUGAAGCCACAGUGGGCGUGUGUUACAGGAUGCUCUUUUAGUUCAGCCAUCCGUAGGUGGCUUGUGUUAGCUCAAUUAGACACCCUUCCUUAUCACAAGGACACAGGGAUUUCUGUAUCCCGGGGUUUCUUGCCUUGGUGUACUGGAAGAAUCGGAUCAGUUGUGGGCUUGGAGAAUAAGUGUAAGUUUGUUUUUUUGUUAUUUUAUUAUUAUUAUUAUUAUUUUGAGAUGGAGUCUCGCUCUGUUGCCCAGGCUGGAGUCCAAUGGCACAAUCUCGGCUCACUGCAACCUCUGUCGCCCGGGUUCAAGCAUUUCUCCUGCCUCAGCUUCCUGAGUAGCUGGGACUACAGGUGCCCGCCACUGUGCCCAGCUAAUUUUUGUAUUUUUAGUAGAGACAGGGUUUCACCUUGCUGGCCAGGCUGGUCUUGAACUCCUGACCUCAUUAUCCACCUGUCUCAGCCUCCCAAAGUGCUGGGAUUACAGGCGUGAGCCACCGUGCCUGGCCUAAGUGCAAGGUUUUAUUGAGUGGAAGUUCUCAGCAGAUGGAUGGGGAGCCAGAAGGGAGAUGGAGUGGGAAGGUGGUUUUCCCUUGGAGUCGGGCAGCUCAGUGGCCCAGGCUGUCCUCUGACCUCCCUGGUUGAACUCUGUGUCGUUCUGCAGGUCAAUGGCCUGCCAGCCUGCCUGUGUCUGUCAGUGUGCUGUUCUGCUGGGGCCCUCUCCACAUCCAGCUGCUGUGUCGUCUUCCACUGAUGCGUUCCUCUUGACAUCCAGCCGCAUGUGCAUGUGUGUCCGAUGGGGCCUCGGGGUUUUUAUAGGCAUAGGAUGGGGGUGUGGUGGGCCAGGGUGGUCUUGGGAAAUGCAACAUUUGGGCGGGAAAACAGAAAUGCCUGUCCUCACCUAGGCCCAUGGGCACAGGCCCUGGGAUGAAGCCCUAGCCAGGGACCACACCUUCCUCUACCCAGCACGUCCCUGUCCCCCUUCCAUAUCACUGUGGUAAAAUCCAGUUUUUUUCACCUUAGAUUUUGUACAUUUGAGGUAUGACAUAAAGUGCAUAUUCAGUUCAAGAUAAAAAGUUUUCUCCAAUAGUCUCCUAUUAGCUUUAUUUUUAUGCCUUUUCAUUUGAGUUUUUAAUCAAUCUAGAGAUCAUUUUACUUAGGAUGUAAGGAAGAGUUCCAAUUUUAGUUUUACCCAUCAGG